GAUGAAGAACGUAGCGAAAUGCGAUAAGUAAUGUGAAUUGCAGAAUUCAGUGAAUCAUCGAAUCUUUGAACGCACAUUGCGCCCGGUAGUAUUCUGCCGGGCAUGCCUGUUCGAGCGUCAUUUCAACCAUCAAGCCCCAGCGCUUGUGUUGGGGGCCCGCGGCUGCCGCAGCCCCCCAAAAGCAGUGGCGGGCUCGCUAUCACACCGAGUGCAGUAGUUCAUCUUCUCUCCGGUCUUGUGAGGCGGGUUCCGGCCGUGAAACACCCCACUACAUUCAAGGUUGACCUCGGAUCAGGUAGGAAUACCCGCUGAACUUAAGCAUAUCAAUAAGCGGAGGA
RNAcentral lists this unclassified non-coding RNA (338 nucleotides) under soil metagenome. Its description in RNAcentral is "partial contains 5.8S ribosomal RNA, internal transcribed spacer 2, and large subunit ribosomal RNA". The stretch from base 1 to 120 matches the Rfam family "5.8S ribosomal RNA", at positions 35 to 154 of the family's 154-position model. The record is from RNAcentral.